GCCGGGAUGGCGGAAUGGUAGACGCAGCGGUCUCAAACACCGCGGCCGCAAGGUGUAGGGGUUCGAGUCCCCUUCCCGGCACCA
Molecule: transfer RNA, 84 nt
Filed under: Haematobacter missouriensis
Lineage: Bacteria; Pseudomonadati; Pseudomonadota; Alphaproteobacteria; Rhodobacterales; Paracoccaceae
Also listed under: 1 other name
Description: tRNA-Leu
Rfam family: tRNA
About the family: Transfer RNA (tRNA) molecules are approximately 80 nucleotides in length. Their secondary structure includes four short double-helical elements and three loops (D, anti-codon, and T loops).
Source: RNAcentral